RNAcentral lists this ribosomal RNA (249 nucleotides) under uncultured bacterium. RNAcentral describes it as "partial 16S ribosomal RNA". It matches the Rfam family "Bacterial small subunit ribosomal RNA", at positions 796 to 1041 of the family's 1533-position model. The record is from RNAcentral.
CACGCUGUAAACGAUGGGUACUAGAUGUCGGGGGAAUUGACCCCCCCGGUAUCGCAGCUAACGCGUUAAGUACCCCGCCUGGGAAGUACGGCCGCAAGGCUAAAACUCAAAGGAAUUGACGGGGGCCCGCACAAGCAGUGGAGCAUGUGGUUUAAUUCGACGCAACGCGAAGAACCUUACCCAGACUUGACUUCUGGAGAAUGGCGUAGAAAUACGCUAGUGCCCUUCGGGGAACUCCAAGACAGGUGC